GAGGUGGGGUUGGGGAUUUGAAAAGAAAAUGGGAACAAAGCAGGCAUCUUUGGAUCCUUUGUAACAACGCCUUGCUUUUUUUAAGUGGCACCUAACGCAAAGAUUUUUACACAAGAGCAGCUCGCCUUUUGCUCUUUUUUUCUUUCCUCCUCUUGUCUCCACCCACCACCAAGCCCUGCUCUUCUCUCGGCCCGAAGUAGACAGGAGAGUAUAGAAGAAGAGAGAAGGAAAAGAAAAAGAGAAGGAUUGGAGGACGAGUAAUAACUACGUCCUCCUCCUCAUUCUCUCUCUAUAUCUACCUCAUAACCUGGAGAGAGAUCGAAAUUAAAGGGAAAAAAAAGAAAAAAAAUAAAAAUUAGCGAUGAACGCAUUUUUCUUCUGAGAGAUUUGAUAUAGUACUUGCCAGAUCUGCCGCAGAAGUUUCCAUUUUCUGGCCUACAUUUCAUCCGGUUGCAUUAGUUGAAAAUGGAUCGUCGAAGUUGGCCUUGGAAGAAGAAGUCAUCAGAAAAAGCAACGACUACAACAGAUUCCACAAGCACUUCUUCAUCUAAUCCAACUGGCAAUCAAGCAGAUCAGGAAAGUACAAAAAGUGUAAAUUAUGUUCAAGUUUCUGCAGAGAAAUAUGCACAUCUCACUGACUUGGAGGACCAAGUGAAGGUCUUGAAUGAAAAAUUAUCUUCAGCACAAUCAGAGAUAACUACUAAGGAAAAUUUAGUAAAACAACAUACCAAAGUUGCAGAAGAAGCAGUAUCAGGUUGGGAAAAAGCUGAAGCAGAAGCCUCAGCACUGAAAGUUCAACUUGAGUCGGUUACGCUGUUAAAGCUUACAGCUGAACAACGGGCAUCACAUCUUGAUGGUGCUCUAAAGGAGUGUAUGAAACAGAUACGGAAUGUUAAGGAAGAAAGUGAGCAAAAAUUACAUGAUGUAGUUUUUUCAAAAACUAAGCACUGGGAAAAGAUCAAGGCUGAACUGGAAGCAAAAAUAGUUGAUUUUGAACAGGAGCUCUUGAAGGCUUCUGCUGAAAAUACUGCAGUGUCAAGAUCUCUUCAAGAACGUUCUGCUAUGCUGAUGAAGAUUAGUGAUGAAAAGUCUCAAGCUGAUGCUGAAAUUGAAGUAUUGAAGAACAACCUACAAUUGUGUGAAAGAGAAAUAAGUUCAUUAAAAUAUGAACUUCAUGUGGUCUCCAAGGAGCUUGAAAUUCGCAAUGAAGAGAAAAACAUGAGCAUAAGAUCGGCUGAUGUGGCAAACAAGCAGCAUUUAGAAGAUGUCAAGAAAAUAUCGAAAUUGGAAGCAGAAUGUCAAAGGUUACGUGGACUUGUUCGAAAGAAGUUGCCUGGCCCUGCUGCAUUAGCUCAGAUGAAGUUAGAAGUUGAAAAUUUAGGCCGAGAUUAUGGAGAUACCAGAUUACGGCGCUCUCCUGCUAAAAAUUCAAGCUUGCAUCAUAUAUCAACUCCAGUUUCAGACCUUGCCUUUGAACACAUUCAGCAGUUCCAGAAAGAGAAUGAAUUUCUUACUGCACGUCUGCUGGCAACAGAGGAAGAGACAAAGAUGCUAAAGGAGGCCUUAUCAAAACGUAAUAGUGAGCUACAAGCUUCAAGAAACAUGUGUGCUAGGACAGCAAGCAAGCUUCGUAGCUUCGAAGUGCAUUUGCUUGCUCCAAACCAACAAAUGAGCCCCUCAAAAUCAAAUAGCUUCACCCCCUUCAAUGGCAUCUUAAGCCAACAUGAAAGCAACCCACCAAGCUUGACCUCCAUGUCUGAAGAUGGUAUUGAUGAGGAAGGAAGCUGCUCUGAGUCUUGGGCUACAGCAUUAAUGUUAGAGCUCUCCCAGUUCAAGAAAGAAAAUAAUGUUGACAAAAGUAAGAAGGCAGACAAUUCAAAUCGUUUGGAAAUUAUGGAUGACUUUUUAGAGAUGGAGAGAUUAGCAUGUGUAUCAUCAGAGACCAAUGGGACUGUCACUAUUUCUGAUAGUGUGGUUGAUAGGAUGAAAAUUGAAAACGUUGAAGCCACUUCAACGGCUGAUAUUCAAAAGAAUGGGGGUGGUGAAGGACUACAGCGGGCUUUGGUGCCACCUAGAAACCUGGUUUACACUGGCAAGGAGCAAUCAGAUGGGGAGUGUGUAUCAAGCAAGUUUGCUUCUCCACUGUCAGAAUUGCAGUCACGAAUAGCUUCUUUGUUUGAAUCGGGAGCCCAGGACACUGAUAUGUCAAAACUUUUGGAAGGUAUUAGAUGUAUUGUGCAGGAUGUACAACAAGAAUUGCCUCAGCACUCUGGUUGUGUUAUCAAAGAGACUUACUCUGCAGAUGCUACCUGUGAUCAAAAUGAAGCUAUGGGUGAAACUACAGACGGUGUGAUUUCUUCAAAGCAAGAUCAUAAUUCAUGUUGUGAUGCUAAGCAUGUGAUGGAUCCAGGAUUGAAGAAUGCAAUUUCUCAGAUUCAUGAUUUUGUUGUUUCUCUUGGUAAAGAAGCUAUAGAAAUUCAAGGCAGGACUUCCGAAGACCGUGGAAUAAAUGAGAGAAUCGAGCAGUUCUCUGCCUCUGUCAACAAAGUUGUGUGUAAUGAAAUAAGUUUAAUUGAUUUUAUUCUUGCAUUGUCCAAAAUUUUGUCUGAAACCAGUUUUAACAUGUCAAGCGAUAAGCGCAAUGAAGGAGAAAGUAAUAGUUCUGAUUGCAUAGACAAGGUAACUUUACUAGAAAAUAAAGAGGUUGAGCAUGAAUCAGCAAAAGAGAAUUUCUCAGGAGUGCGUUUGCUUGUACCUCAUUCUUCCUCUGACCCUGAGAUUGAAGGGCCUGUUGGCCAUGACUUUGAAGUAAAGGCCACAUUGCAGAAGUUCUCCCUGGAGGAAUUUGAACACUUGAAAUUGGAGAAGGAGAACAUGGAGAUGGAAUUGGCUAGAUGUAAUGAAAUGCUGGAAUAUACAAAGUCUCAGCUGGUUGAAACGGAACAAAACCUGGCGGAGCUUAAAUCACAAUUGGCUGCCAGUCAGAAAUCAAACAGCUUGUCUGAGACACAAUUGAAGUGUAUGGCUGAGUCCUAUAAGACACUGGAAUCACGCACAAAGGAAUUAGAAGCUGAAAUAGUCCUGCUGCUUACAAAAGCAGAAAGUUUGGAUAAUGAACUUCAGGAAGAAAGACGCAGCCAUCAGGACGAUUUGGCCAAAUACAAAGAUCUUCAGGAGCAAAUUGAAAGGAAUGAAAAGAGUUUAAUGUGCUCUGAUGCUGACAAUGAUAUCAAGACAAAACAGAGCCAACGAUUCUCGGAUGGUGAAUACGUGAUCUACCGCAAACAAAUCGGAUUCGUUUGAAGAAUCAAGUCCUUCGAUUAAAGAGAUCUUGAGUCAAAUGAUGGCAAGAUUCGACAAGAUUGGUAAAAGAUUCGAUGAAGCACAACAAGAAAAUGUUCGAUCGUAUCAAAGACUCAAUGAUCGGAUGGAUUUGCUCCAAAAAGAACACCAAACAAUCUCUACCCCACCUCUUUCAGUGCCGAAUACAAGCCAAUCAUCUUUUUCUGUUGCCCAAACCUCUUGCACCACCGCCACUGCAUCUUCUGGUGGUGCCUCACCAUCCGGCGCCCAAAAGCAUGGCGUUGCCUCUGGAGUUCUCAUAAGGGCGCCACUGCCCAGUGGCGCAUUGCCCCAAGGGACUUCCUAGGCCCUAUUGUUGCCCACGCCUGAAGUGCCGCCCCUUUUUAUGCCUCCAGCAGCACCUAGGCUGGUGCCCUACCCUAUCGUGCCUCAAACAGCCCAUGUUUUCGGAGUCUAUGGCCAAGAACAGCUGUUGGCUGCACCUACAGGGCUGCCAGAUGCUGCCCAAAACAAUAAUCGAGUGCCCCUACACCAAAUAAAUGCCAAUAAUGAUCCCUUCGGGAUUGCUGCUACAGUGGCAACUUUCUUUGAGGCCAACAAUCAUCGUGGGCGGAACUUUGAUGAUGAUGAUUUCAUGGAUGAUGAGUGGCAAGAUCAGGACUUUUAUGGAGAAAGGAGAUUUCGGCACUGAGGAUGUAGAAAUCAAGGCCUGAAUCAUAACAAAACCUACAUGCGCAGGAUGGAAUUUCCAAAAUUUUCAUGAUCCAACCUUGAGAAUUGGUCUUUCUUAGCUGACUUAUAUUUCAAGGCUCAUGAUGUGGCAAAGGAAGAUAAAUUGUUUAUGGCAACUUGCAAUUUCGAAGGCUCGGCUCAAGAUUGGGUAUAGACUUAUGCCCGUGCACAUCCUCCACUGGAUUGGGGAACCUUUUUGCAUGCAGGGAAAGAUAUGUUUUGCAAACCUGAGGUUGAGUUAUGAGACACAAUUAAUGGAAAUACAACAACUCUUAGAUGUUGCAACUUAUAAUGUUGAAUUUAAUCGGUUGGCCUCAAGGGUGUUGAAUUGGGCUAAUAAUGUGUAUUUGGGAGCUUAUAUGAAGGGAUUGAUGUCCGAAAUCCGUGCUAAAGUGGCCGGACAUAGGCUAUAAUUGGUUUCUGAUGCUCAGUUUCAUGCUAUAAAUGCUGAGAUAGAAGUGAUGGCACUUACAAAGGAGAAGGAGAUAGCAGCAGCAGCAGAGAAGCUUGCAGAGUGUCAGGAGACGAUACGUCUUCUUGGUAGGCAAUUGCAAACAAUGCGUCCACCAGCUGAAUCUUCCACUUCCUCUCCAAACAAUAGACACCGAAUGAGUGAUUACUUGUUGGAAAAUGAACCAGGCCCAAGUGGCUUUAAC
Elaeis guineensis (African oil palm) is the source of this 4691-nucleotide non-coding RNA. Lineage: Eukaryota; Viridiplantae; Streptophyta; Magnoliopsida; Arecales; Arecaceae. The record is from RefSeq and is a predicted model, not a curated record.